AGGACGAACGCUGGCGGCGUGCUUAACACAUGCAAGUCGAACGGUGACCUCGGAGCUUGCUCCGGGCGAUCAGUGGCGAACGGGUGAGUAACACGUGAGCAACCUGCCCCUGGCUCUGGGAUAACCCCGGGAAACCGGAGCUAAUACCGGAUACGAGACCGAAUGGCAUCUUUACGGUCUGGAAAGUUUUUCGGCCAGGGAUGGGCUCGCGGCCUAUCAGCUUGUGGCGGGUAAUGGCCCACAAGGCGACGACGGGUA
Molecule: ribosomal RNA, 258 nt
Filed under: uncultured soil bacterium
Lineage: Bacteria
Description: partial 16S ribosomal RNA
Rfam family: Bacterial small subunit ribosomal RNA
Source: RNAcentral